Molecule: long non-coding RNA, 786 nt
Organism: Phalaenopsis equestris
Lineage: Eukaryota; Viridiplantae; Streptophyta; Magnoliopsida; Asparagales; Orchidaceae
Exons: 4
Source: RefSeq, a predicted model, not a curated record
CUCCCCUCACGCAGGCCAUUAUUCAGAGCAAGUACCAUCACCCGUACUUAUCUUGGAGGGAGAUCCUAAUAGAAGUUUGAAAAUUUUGGUUUUGGGAGUUUGUGUGGUCCUAGCUCCUUGAGGAGGAGGAGCACAUCCAGAGGAACAUCAAACACAAGAUGAGCGAUCUUCUUUGCGACCAAUUCAAUGAUAUACGCUGGACAUGUAAACAUCCGUGUGGCUUGAUGAGGAUAUGUUAUUUUACUUUCUUAGGGCGUGAGUAUCAUAAGAAGAGGGAACAAGCUAAUAAGAAACACCGCAUUGACUACGAGGGCAUGGGGGCCUCAAAGCACACUAUUAGGGAGCUCAUACAUACAUAGUACAAGAAGAGAGAAAAGUUGGGAGCCAACAGUGUGGAUUACAUGAGCUCACUCACAGGCGGGAGACAGAUCUACCUUGGGUGUAUAAUAGAUCCCUGGUGACCUAGAAGGUCUUUCAUAGGCUGAAAGAAAGCCAAUCCCAGCAGUCAAGCGGUGGUUCGAGCACAAUCUCACGACCCUUCUCAAUACAACCUAUGAAGGGAGGUUGUGAGUGGCAAGAAAAAGGGCAAGGUCUCGGGUUGGGGUCCCAGCCACCGUUCUAUGAUGCAUGUCCGACCUUUAGCACAUCUGGUGCUUCUACUUCCAUUGAACAAGAGGAGGAGAUUCAUCACUACGUUGCUACUGAGGUUGCUGCCCAAAUCUUCACCUAACUAGCCACCCUUAGAAUCAGAGAUAAAGCGGAAGAUGAAAAGAGAGAUCGAAGCAA